This 71-nucleotide transfer RNA is filed under the name Eurypegasus draconis (short dragonfish). RNAcentral describes it as "tRNA-Thr". It matches the Rfam family "tRNA". Rfam says of the family: Transfer RNA (tRNA) molecules are approximately 80 nucleotides in length. Their secondary structure includes four short double-helical elements and three loops (D, anti-codon, and T loops). Lineage: Eukaryota; Metazoa; Chordata; Actinopteri; Syngnathiformes; Pegasidae. The record is from RNAcentral.
GCACUAGUAGCUCAGAACAGAGCGCCGACCUUGUAAGCCGGAGGCCGGAGGUUAAAUUCCUCCCUAUUGUU